AUUGAACGCUGGCGGCAGGCCUAACACAUGCAAGUCGAACGGUAGCACAGAGAGCUUGCUCUCGGGUGACGAGUGGCGGACGGGUGAGUAAUGUCUGGGAAACUGCCCGAUGGAGGGGGAUAACUACUGGAAACGGUAGCUAAUACCGCAUAACGUCGCAAGACCAAAGUGGGGGACCUUCGGGCCUCACACCAUCGGAUGUGCCCAGAUGGGAUUAGCUAGUAGGUGGGGUAAUGGCUCACCUAGGCGACGAGCCCUAGCUGGUCUGAGAGGAUGACCAGCCACACUGGAACUGAGACACGGUCCAGACUCCGACGGGAGGCAGCAGUGGGGAAUAUUGCACAAUGGGCGCAAGCCUGAUGCAGCCAUGCCGCGUGUAUGAAGAAGGCCUUCGGGUUGUAAAGUACUUUCAGCGGGGAGGAAGGCGGUGAAGUUAAUAACUUCACCGAUUGACGUUACCCGCAGAAGAAGCACCGGCUAACUCCGUGCCAGCCGCCGCGGUAA
This 504-nucleotide ribosomal RNA is filed under the name uncultured bacterium. Its description in RNAcentral is "partial 16S ribosomal RNA". It matches the Rfam family "Bacterial small subunit ribosomal RNA", at positions 29 to 523 of the family's 1533-position model. The record is from RNAcentral.